UAGGGAAUCUUCGGCAAUGGGGGCAACCCUGACCGAGCAACGCCGCGUGAGUGAAGAAGGUUUUCGGAUCGUAAAGCUCUGUUGUAAGAGAAGAACGUGUGUGAGAGUGGAAAGUUCACACAGUGACGGUAACUUACCAGAAAGGGACGGCUAACUACGUGCCAGCAGCCGCGGUAAUACGUAGGUCCCGAGCGUUGUCCGGAUUUAUUGGGCGUAAAGCGAGCGCAGGCGGUUUAAUAAGUCUGAAGUUAAAGGCAGUGGCUUAACCAUUGUUAGCUUUGGAAACUGUUAAACUUGAGUGCAGAAGGGGAGAGGGGAAUUCCAUGUGUAGCGGUGAAAUGCGUAGAUAUAUGGAGGAACACCGGUGGCGAAAGCGGCUCUCUGGUCUGUAACUGACGCUGAGGCGCGAAAGCGUGGGGAGCAAACAGG
RNAcentral lists this ribosomal RNA (429 nucleotides) under bacterium. RNAcentral's name for it is "partial 16S ribosomal RNA". It matches the Rfam family "Bacterial small subunit ribosomal RNA", at positions 355 to 776 of the family's 1533-position model. The record is from RNAcentral.